This 459-nucleotide ribosomal RNA is filed under the name uncultured bacterium. RNAcentral's name for it is "partial 16S ribosomal RNA". It matches the Rfam family "Bacterial small subunit ribosomal RNA", at positions 338 to 795 of the family's 1533-position model. The record is from RNAcentral.
CCUACGGGAGGCAGCAGUGAGGAAUAUUGGUCAAUGGACGGAAGUCUGAACCAGCCAUGUCGCGUGCAGGAAGACUGCCCUAUGAGUUGUAAACUGCUUUUGUACAAGGGUAAACCUGAAUACGUGUAUUCUGCUGAAAGUACUGUACGAAUAAGGAUCGGCUAACUCCGUGCCAGCAGCCGCGGUAAUACGGAGGGGGCUAGCGUUAUCCGGAAUUACUGGGCGUAAAGGGUGCGUAGGUGGUUUCUUAAGUCAGAGGUAAAAGGCUACGGCUCAACCGUAGUAAGCCUUUGAAACUGGGAAACUUGAGUGCAGGAGAGGAGAGUGGAAUUCCUGGUGUAGCGGUGAAAUGCGUAGAUAUUAGGAGGAACACCAGUUGCGAAGGCAGCUCUCUGGACUGUAACUGACACUGAGGCACGAAAGCGUGGGGAGCAAACAGGAUUAGAUACCCGUGUAGUC